This 416-nucleotide ribosomal RNA is filed under the name uncultured bacterium. RNAcentral's name for it is "bacterial SSU rRNA". It matches the Rfam family "Bacterial small subunit ribosomal RNA", at positions 359 to 772 of the family's 1533-position model. The record is from RNAcentral.
GAAUAUUGGACAAUGGGCGCAAGCCUGAUCCAGCCAUGCCGCGUGCAGGAAGACGGCCCUAUGGGUUGUAAACUUCUUUUAUCUGGGAAGAAACCUACGAUUUCUAUUGUAGCCGACGGUACCAGAGGAAUAAGCACCGGCUAACUCCGUGCCAGCAGCCGCGGUAAUACGGAGGGUGCAAGCGUUAUCCGGAUUCACUGGGUUUAAAGGGUGUGUAGGCGGGCAAUUAAGUCAGUGGUGAAAUCUCCAGGCUCAACCUGGAAACUGCCAUUGAUACUAUUUGUCUUGAAUCCUGUUGAGGUGGGCGGAAUAUAUCAUGUAGCGGUGAAAUGCUUAGAUAUGAUAUAGAACACCGAUUGCGAAGGCAGCUCACUAAACAGGCAUUGACGCUGAGGCACGAAAGCGUGGGGAUCAAA